Molecule: ribosomal RNA, 1140 nt
Filed under: uncultured fungus
Lineage: Eukaryota; Fungi
Description: eukaryotic LSU rRNA
Rfam family: Eukaryotic large subunit ribosomal RNA (bases 511-1140)
Source: RNAcentral
AAGUCGUAACAAGGUUUCCGUAGGUGAACCUGCGGAAGGAUCAUUACAGAGAACAUGCCCUCUAGGGUAGAUCUCCCACCCUAUGUUUACUUUACCUUUGUUGCUUUGGCGGGCCCGUCCUAGGACUACCGGCUCCAGCUGGUCAGCGCCCGCCAGAGGACCCUAAACUCUAAAUUUUAGUGUUGUCUGAGUACUAGAUAAAUUUAAAACUUUCAACAACGGAUCUCUUGGUUCUGGCAUCGAUGAAGAACGCAGCGAAAUGCGAUAAGUAAUGUGAAUUGCAGAAUUCAGUGAAUCAUCGAAUCUUUGAACGCACAUUGCACCCUCUGGUAUUCCAGGGGGUAUGCCUGUUCGAGCGUCAUUACAACCCUCAAGCUCUGCUUGGUAUUGGGUGCAUCACUAUGAUUCCUCCUAAAGUAAGUGGCGGUGCCAUCUAGCUUCCAGUGUAGUAAUCAUCUCGCUGUGGAGAUCUAGGUGCGUGCUAGCCAGGAACCCCUCAUUUUAUAAGGUUGACCUCGGAUCAGGUAGGGAUACCCGCUGAACAUAAGCAUAUCAAUAAGCGGAGGAAAAGAAACCAACAGGGAUUGCCUUAGUAACGGCGAGUGAAGCGGCAACAGCUCAAAUUUGAAAUCUGGCCUUCUGGUCCGAGUUGUAAUUUGUAGAGGAUGCUUCGAACGUGGUCCGGUCUAAGUUCCUUGGAACAGGACGUCAUAGAGGGUGAGAAUCCCGUAUGCGACUGGGUGCCUAAGUUCAUGUGAAGCUCCUUCGACGAGUCGAGUUGUUUGGGAAUGCAGCUCAAAAUGGGUGGUAUAUUUCAUCUAAAGCUAAAUACUGGCCAGAGACCGAUAGCGCACAAGUAGAGUGAUCGAAAGAUGAAAAGCACUUUGGAAAGAGAGUCAAACAGUACGUGAAAUUGUUGAAAGGGAAGCGCUUGCAACCAGACUUGCAUGCAGUUGAUCAUCCGAUGUUCUCACCGGUGCACUCGAUUGCGUUCAGGCCAGCAUCGGUUUCAGUGGUUGGAUAAAGGCCUUGGGAAUGUAGCUUCUCUUGGGGAGUGUUAUAGCCCUUGGUGCAAUGCAGCCUACUAGGACCGAGGACCGCGCUUCGGCUAGGAUGCUGGCGUAAUGGUUGUAAGCGACC